Molecule: long non-coding RNA, 304 nt
Organism: Fundulus heteroclitus (mummichog)
Lineage: Eukaryota; Metazoa; Chordata; Actinopteri; Cyprinodontiformes; Fundulidae
Exons: 3
Source: RefSeq, a predicted model, not a curated record
UGGCGCCCGUAUAAUUCCCGCUGCUAUAAACUUGUUAAAGCUCAUUUUCUGACCUGGAUCGAAGCUCAGAAGCACUGCAAAGGUAUUGGAGGCCAUCUGGCUUCAGCCACCGACUCAGGAUUGUCAGUUUUCCUCCAAACGAUGAUGCAAAGAGCUAAUGUACACUCUGCAUGGCUUGGAGGUUUUUGGCUGCAGGACCAAUGGAGGUGGAUUAAUGGCGAGGAUUUAUACUUUAAAGGCUGGUCUCAGAACUAUCCGAGUAAUUCCCGUCCGAUCCCAUCCUGCAUGUACUUAGACCCUGGCU